AUUGAACGCUGGCGGAAUGCUUUACACAUGCAAGUCGAGCGGCAGCGCGGCCUUCGGGCUGGCGGCGAGCGGCGAACGGGUGAGUAAUGCAUCGGAACAUGCCCAGUCGUGGGGGAUAACACUUCGAAAGAAGUGCUAAUACCGCAUACGUCCUGAGGGGGAAAGCGGGGGAUCGCAAGACCUCGCGCGAUUGGAGUGGCCGAUGUCAGAUUAGCUAGUUGGUGGGGUAAAGGCCUACCAAGGCGACGAUCUGUAGCUGGUCAGAGAGGAUGAUCAGCCACACUGGGACUGAGACACGGCCCAGACUCCUACGGGAGGCAGCAGUGGGGAAUUUUGGACAAUGGGGGCAACCCUGAUCCAGCCAUUCCGCGUGAGUGAAGAAGGCCUUCGGGUUGUAAAGCUCUUUCGGCAGGAACGAAACGGUGGGCUCUAACAUAGUCCGCUAAUGACGGUACCUGAAGAAGAAGCACCGGCUAACUACGUG
Molecule: ribosomal RNA, 484 nt
Filed under: uncultured bacterium
Lineage: Bacteria
Description: partial 16S ribosomal RNA
Rfam family: Bacterial small subunit ribosomal RNA
Source: RNAcentral